RNAcentral lists this ribosomal RNA (439 nucleotides) under uncultured bacterium. RNAcentral describes it as "partial 16S ribosomal RNA". It matches the Rfam family "Bacterial small subunit ribosomal RNA", at positions 339 to 795 of the family's 1533-position model. The record is from RNAcentral.
CUACGGGUCGCAGCAGUGGGGAAUAUUGGACAAUGGAGGAAACUCUGAUGCUGCAACGCCGCGUGGAGGAUGACACUUUUCGGAGCGUAAACUCCUUUUAUAUAGGAAGAAGAUGACGGUACUAUAUGAAUAAGCGCCGGCUAACUCCGUGCCAGCAGCCGCGGUAAUACGGAGGGCGCAAGCGUUACUCGGAAUCACUGGGCGUAAAGAGCGUGUAGGCGGAUUAAAAAGUCAGAAGUGAAAUCCUAUAGCUUAACUAUAGAACUGCUUCUGAAACUCUUAAUCUAGAAUAUGGGAGAGGUAGAUGGAAUUUCUGGUGUAGGGGUAAAAUCCGUAGAGAUCAGAAGGAAUACCGAUUGCGAAGGCGAUCUACUAGAACAUUAUUGACGCUGAGACGCGAAAGCGUGGGGAGCAAACAGGAUUAGAUACCCGUGUAGUC